Molecule: ribosomal RNA, 494 nt
Filed under: uncultured Roseateles sp.
Lineage: Bacteria; Pseudomonadati; Pseudomonadota; Betaproteobacteria; Burkholderiales; Sphaerotilaceae
Description: bacterial SSU rRNA
Rfam family: Bacterial small subunit ribosomal RNA
Source: RNAcentral
AGUUUGAUCCUGGCUCAGAUUGAACGCUGGCGGCAUGCCUUACACAUGCAAGUCGAACGGUAACAGGUUAAGCUGACGAGUGGCGAACGGGUGAGUAAUGUAUCGGAACGUGCCCAGUCUGGGGGAUAACUGCUCGAAAGAGCAGCUAAUACCGCAUACGACCUGAGGGUGAAAGCGGGGGAUCGCAAGACCUCGCGCGAUUGGAGCGGCCGAUAUCAGAUUAGGUAGUUGGUGAGGUAAAGGCUCACCAAGCCGACGAUCUGUAGCUGGUCUGAGAGGACGACCAGCCACACUGGGACUGAGACACGGCCCAGACUCCUACGGGAGGCAGCAGUGGGGAAUUUUGGACAAUGGGCGCAAGCCUGAUCCAGCCAUGCCGCGUGCGGGAAGAAGGCCUUCGGGUUGUAAACCGCUUUUGUCAGGGAAGAAAAGGUUCUGGCUAAUACCUGGGGCUCAUGACGGUACCUGAAGAAUAAGCACCGGCUAACUACGUG